CCUACGGGAGGCUGCAGUGGGGAAUAUUGCACAAUGGGGGAAACCCUGAUGCAGCGACGCCGCGUGAGUGAAGAAGUAAUUCGUUAUGUAAAGCUCUAUCAGCAGGGAAGAAAAUGACGGUACCUGAGUAAGAAGCCCCGGCUAACUACGUGCCAGCAGCCGCGGUAAUACGUAGGGGGCAAGCGUUAUCCGGAUUUACUGGGUGUAAAGGGAGCGUAGACGGCAGUGCAAGUCUGGAGUGAAAGGCGGGGGCUCAACCCCCGGACUGCUCUGGAAACUGUACGGCUGGAGUGCAGGAGAGGUAAGUGGAAUUCCUAGUGUAGCGGUGGAAUGCGUAGAUAUUAGGAGGAACACCAGUGGCGAAGGCGGCUUACUGGACUGUAACUGACGUUGAGGCUCGAAAGCGUGGGGAGCAAACAGGAUUAGAUACCCCUGUAGUC
RNAcentral lists this ribosomal RNA (440 nucleotides) under uncultured bacterium. Its description in RNAcentral is "partial 16S ribosomal RNA". It matches the Rfam family "Bacterial small subunit ribosomal RNA", at positions 338 to 795 of the family's 1533-position model. The record is from RNAcentral.